Molecule: ribosomal RNA, 740 nt
Filed under: uncultured Actinomycetes bacterium
Lineage: Bacteria; Bacillati; Actinomycetota; Actinomycetes
Description: bacterial SSU rRNA
Rfam family: Bacterial small subunit ribosomal RNA
Source: RNAcentral
CAGGCCUAACACAUGCAAGUCGAGCGCAGGAAGCUCACGGAACUCUUCGGAGGGAAGUGAAGGGAAUGAGCGGCGGACGGGUGAGUAACACGUAAGGNACCUGCCCCAAGGAUUGGGAUAACUCCGAGAAAUCGGAGCUAAUACCGAAUAGUUCUUCAGACCGCAUGGUCUGAUGAUGAAAGGCGCUUCGGCGUCACCUUGGGAUGGCCUUGCGGUGCAUUAGCUAGUUGGUGGGGUAAUGGCCCACCAAGGCGACGAUGCAUAGCCGACCUGAGAGGGUGAUCGGCCACACUGGGACUGAGACACGGCCCAGACUCCUACGGGAGGCAGCAGUAGGGAAUCUUCCACAAUGGACGAAAGUCUGAUGGAGCAACGCCGCGUGAGUGAUGAAGGUUUUCGGAUCGUAAAACUCUGUUGUAAGGGAAGAACAGGUGUGAGAGGUAAUGCUCAUGCUAUGACGGUACCUUGCGAGAAAGCCACGGCUAACUACGUGCCAGCAGCCGCGGUAAUACGUAGGUGGCAAGCGUUGUCCGGAAUUAUUGGGCGUAAAGCGCGCGCAGGCGGCCUUUUAAGUCUGAUGUGAAAGCCCCCGGCUCAACCGGGGAGGGUCAUUGGAAACUGGAAGGCUUGAGUACAGAAGAGAAGAGUGGAAUUCCAUGUGUAGCGGUGAAAUGCGUAGAGAUGUGGAGGAACACCAGUGGCGAAGCGACUCUUUGUCUUAACUGACGCUGAGCGCGAAA